GAUGAACGCUGGCGGCGUGCCUAAUACAUGCAAGUCGAGCGAACAGAUGAGGAGCUUGCUCCUCUGACGUUAGCGGCGGACGGGUGAGUAACACGUGGAUAACCUACCUAUAAGACUGGGAUAACUUCGGGAAACCGGAGCUAAUACCGGAUAAUAUAUUGAACCGCAUGGUUCAAUAGUGAAAGACGGUUUUGCUGUCACUUAUAGAUGGAUCCGCGCCGCAUUAGCUAGUUGGUAAGGUAACGGCUUACCAAGGCAACGAUGCGUAGCCGACCUGAGAGGGUGAUCGGCCACACUGGAACUGCGACACGGUCCAGACUCCUACGGGAGGCCGCAGUAGGGAAUCUUCCGCAAUGGGCGAAAGCCUGACGGAGCAACGCCGCGUGAGUGAUGAAGGUCUUCGGAUCGUAAAACUCUGUUAUUAGGGAAGAACAAAUGUGUAAGUAACUAUGCACGUCUUGACGGUACCUAAUCAGAAAGCCACGGCUAACUACGUG
This 497-nucleotide ribosomal RNA is filed under the name uncultured bacterium. Its description in RNAcentral is "partial 16S ribosomal RNA". It matches the Rfam family "Bacterial small subunit ribosomal RNA", at positions 28 to 507 of the family's 1533-position model. The record is from RNAcentral.